Molecule: ribosomal RNA, 477 nt
Filed under: uncultured bacterium
Lineage: Bacteria
Description: bacterial SSU rRNA
Rfam family: Bacterial small subunit ribosomal RNA
Source: RNAcentral
UUCGCAAUGCCCGAAAGGGUGACGGAGCGACGCCGCGUGUGGGAAGAAGGCCUUCGGGUUGUAAACCACUGUCGGGAGUUAAGAAAUGCAAGGAUAUUAAUAGUGUCUUUGUUUGACUAAGGCUCCGGAGGAAGCCACGGCUAACUCUGUGCCAGCAGCCGCGGUAAUACAGAGGCGGCAAGCGUUGUUCGGAAUUAUUGGGCGUAAAGAGCACGUAGGCGGCUAUGUAAGUCGGUUGUGAAAGCCUUCCGCUCAACGGAAGAACAGCAUCCGAUACUACAUGGCUUGAGUGCGGGAGGGGAGAGUGGAACUUCUGGUGGAGCGGUGAAAUGCGUAGAUAUCAGAAGGAACGCCGGCGGCGAAAGCGGCUCUCUGGCCCAUAACUGACGCUGAGUGUGCGAAAGCUAGGGGAGCAAACGGGAUUAGAUACCCCGGUAGUCCUAGCCGUAAACGAUGGGCACUAAGUAGAGGGGUUUU